Oncorhynchus tshawytscha (Chinook salmon) is the source of this 1428-nucleotide long non-coding RNA. The record is from Ensembl. NCBI's taxonomy places the organism in Eukaryota, Metazoa, Chordata, Actinopteri, Salmoniformes, Salmonidae.
CAUACACGGUACCUGUGUUUGGGUGAGGACUAAGAUACCUAACUAAAUAAUUGCUUGAUGUAGACUAAGUUAGUUGUUUGCUGUCUAGCUCUGCAGCAUCUUAACAUAGACCUCCUUUAGAUGUUGUUGUUGUUGUUGUCAAUGUUUUUGUAUUAUGUGUUUAGUCAUGGCACCAGGGAAUGUCACCUUUAUUGUUCCUGGAAGCAGUCAGCCUGUCGUGGUGUGGGUGUCUAGACCUGGUUUUGUGCAGCGGUCCUUGUGUCACCAGAGAGCAAGACUUGCUUUUGUGUGUUUGUCAUCAGGGAGUGGGUGAAGUAUCUGUUUACAGGCUGCAGAGUGCUCUUGCUGCACUCACAGGACCUGCUCUAGCCACAUAAGCAGCCGCUGUGAGUUGGGGUCUCAAUUUACUGUUGAUAGUUAGAAUAAUAACAUACACAAAGUGCAAUUUGGUCAAAAUUUGGUUGUGCAUCAGCAGUUUUUCUCUCAUUAUGUAUGUCACUGACAGUCACUCAAAUAAAUCCAGUAUGUCAGCUAAAAAUGAUUAGAUUGGUAAAUUAUCCUAGCCAGGUAUCUAAACUUGUAGUAAUCAUGGUGGAAUACCGACCAGGCAUGCAGGGCAUGUGCCCAGGGGCUCUGACCACCAGUGAUCCCAAAUUGAUUUUGUUAGUCACUCUCACUCAGAUAUCAUAUUACCAUGACAUAACUCAUGGUAAAAGUGUAGAUUUGCAAGAAAAUAAUCUUUAAACUUGCAAAAAUAUCUCUCCACCCUCUAAUCGGGAAAUGUAAGAUUAAUAAAGUUAACAUUCAGUUAAUAGUAAUUAAGACAAUGCUUAGCAGAUGUAUAUGUUUUCAUUUUCUAUACACAUGAUUUCCAGUGUUCUAUGUGGCACUCAUUUAUGUACAUGUUGAUGGUCACUAGACUUGAUGCAGAAUGUUAUGGAUUGUUCUCAUAUCUGUUGAUAAGGGUUGACGCCAGACUGGAGGUACAAGGACCAAGGACACUGGUUGCUAUUGUUUUCUGUGAUUCUGUAGUAGUUGAUGUUGUGACUUCCUACAAGUCUCUCGGCAGGUGUUUACAAAUCAUUCCCACUCGGCACAGACGUCAGUUCAUCGUUUAGUUUUGAUUUACAUUUGGUUGAUUUGUCAACUAACAUGAAUUCAACAAAAAUGUCACCAUGUCAUUGGAUUUAGGAUAAAAGUUGGGUGAAAAAAAUGCAAAAUUCCCUUACCUUAAUGCCUUUUUUCAAAUCCAAUCAGUUUCCACCUUGAUUCAUUGUCAUCAAACCAGUUUUUGCCCAGUGGCUUGGUGCUGUUAGAUUAUAAUAUAAGGGCCUGCUUAGGCGAGUUAGACAUUUUCUGUGCUCUAAUGCUGGAUGUUGUCUCCCUGUGGCAACUUGUAUUAAACCAUAUUGGUUUUGUUUGACUUUA